GCGUUGGUAGUUCAGUGGUAGAACUCUUGCCUUCCGUGCAGGAGGCCUGGGUUCCAUUCCCAGCCAAUGUA
Loxodonta africana (African savanna elephant) is the source of this 71-nucleotide transfer RNA. It matches the Rfam family "tRNA". From Rfam's summary of the family: Transfer RNA (tRNA) molecules are approximately 80 nucleotides in length. Their secondary structure includes four short double-helical elements and three loops (D, anti-codon, and T loops). Further hydrogen bonds mediate the characteristic L-shaped molecular structure. tRNAs have two regions of fundamental functional importance: the anti-codon, which is responsible for specific mRNA codon recognition, and the 3' end, to which the tRNAs corresponding amino acid is attached (by aminoacyl-tRNA synthetases). tRNAs cope with the degeneracy of the genetic code in two manners: having more than one tRNA (with a specific anti-codon) for a particular amino acid; and 'wobble' base-pairing, i.e. permitting non-standard base-pairing at the 3rd anti-codon position. Lineage: Eukaryota; Metazoa; Chordata; Mammalia; Proboscidea; Elephantidae. The record is from Rfam.